CUAUCAGGUAGUUGGUGAGGUAACGGCUCACCAAGCCAAUGACGGAUAUCUGGUUUGAGAGGAUGAUCAGACACACUGGAACUGAGACACGGUCCAGACUCCUACGGGAGGCAGCAGUGGGGAAUAUUGCACAAUGGAGGAAACUCUGAUGCAGCAACGCCGCGUGGAGGAUGACGCAUUUCGGUGUGUAAACUCCUUUUAAGAGGGAAGAUUAUGACGGUACCUCUUGAAUAAGCACCGGCUAACUCCGUGCCAGCAGCCGCGGUAAUACGGAGGGUGCAAGCGUUACUCGGAAUCACUGGGCGUAAAGGGUGCGUAGGCUGACUUUUAAGUCAGGCGUGAAAUCCAAUGGCUUAACCAUUGAACUGCGCUUGAAACUGGGAGUCUAGAGUUCAGAAGGGGCAGAUGGAAUUAGUGGUGUAGGGGUAAAAUCCGUAGAUAUCACUAGGAAUAUCAAAAGCGAAGGCGAUCUGCUGGGAUGAUACUGACGCUGAGGCACGAAAGCGUGGGGAGCAAACAGGAUUAGAUACCCUGGUAGUCCACGCCCUAAACGAUGAAUGCUAGUCGUCGGGGAGCUCGUCUCUUCGGUGAUGCACUUAACAGAUUAAGCAUUCCGCCUGGGGAGUACGGUCGCAAGAUUAAAACUCAAAGGAAUAGACGGGGACCCGCACAAGUGGUGGAGCAUGUGGUUUAAUUCGAAGAUACACGAAGAACCUUACCUGGCCUUGACAUGGUAGGAACCCUGUAGAGAUACGGGGGUGCUGGCUUGCUAGAGCCUACACACAGGUGCUGCACGGCUGUCGUCAGCUCGUGUCGUGAGAUGUUGGGUUAAGUCCCGCAACGAGCGCAACCCUCGUCCUUAGUUGCUAACGGUUCGGCCGAGCACUCUAAGGAGACUGCCUUCGCAAGGAGGAGGAAGGUGAGGACGACGUCAAGUCAUCAUGGCCCUUACGGCCAGGGCUACACACGUGCUACAAUGGGGCGUACAGAGAGCUGCGAUACCGCGAGGUGGAGCCAAUCUCUUAAAGCGUCUCUCAGUUCGGAUUGUUCUCUGCAACUCGAGAACAUGAAGCUGGAAUCACUAGUAAUCGCAGAUCAGCUAUGCUGCGGUGAAUACGUUCCCGGGUCUUGUACUCACCGCCCGUCACACCAUGGGAGUUGAUUUCACCCGAAAUCGGGAUGC
RNAcentral lists this ribosomal RNA (1183 nucleotides) under uncultured Campylobacterota bacterium. Its description in RNAcentral is "bacterial SSU rRNA". It matches the Rfam family "Bacterial small subunit ribosomal RNA", at positions 238 to 1435 of the family's 1533-position model. Lineage: Bacteria; Pseudomonadati; Campylobacterota. The record is from RNAcentral.